Molecule: long non-coding RNA, 1028 nt
Organism: Bactrocera oleae (olive fruit fly)
Lineage: Eukaryota; Metazoa; Arthropoda; Insecta; Diptera; Tephritidae
Source: RefSeq, a predicted model, not a curated record
CUUCUGUAGCUUUGAUUGCUUUAUGAAGUUUUUUUUUGUGUAUUUGAAAAUGAAAUUUUACUGAAUUGCUCAAACUAUAUUCCAUUCACCGCUUAGCGUUAUCGCGCAUAUAAAUAAACAUUCAAAGGGUCACGCAAGAACAAACCAUAAAUCAAUAAAAUGCAUUAGAUGCCAAUUUAUUUAUUUCCUACGUUUUGUGCCAUUAAUCGUCAAGAACCUAAGACAAAUCACUCAAUCAGUGUGUCGCUUCGACAGAACGCCCGAAGCGAAGACACACAAACAAUCAUGCGACAAAAUAACCGAAGGAGGAGAGACGCUGCAGAGCCACAACCAACGGUGAACUGAUGGACUGCACAGCAGUCCGACAUAGUCGCGGCACUCACGCUCGGUAUUGACAAUUUCUUCCACAUAAAGCAAUCUUCCACCAUCGCUAAACGACAUAAACUGACAUAGCUGCAAAUCCAAAUCUGAGCGCCGAAAAACAAAGCCAAUUCCAGCUGCCGCCACAUCACCAAAGCUUAACUUAAUUGAUUGACCUGCUCAAUGCAUAUAGAGGCUAUAAGCGGACGCUAAAAACUUUUAUGGCAAUACUGCUGAAAGACAAUUUUCAAAAGUCGCAAAGGUAGAAAGCAAAAGCACAUAGCUAAAUCUUGUUAGCUGUAAGGCGGCCAAGCUCACCACUGACACGGAAGUUAGAAUACGAAUAUGUUGAGCAGUAAUAAAGAUGACCUGUCUGUUGAUUUUGUCAUUCAAUCAAUCGCAUUUAGAAAUUAAUAACUGGAAAUUGUAGUAUGACCACAGGCUAGACGCCUAGCGAUAGUACUGUGAGACAGCGCUGCGCCUACAAAAGGACCGGUGACAACAAAGCUACACACGCCCAAUAGCCAAAAACUUCGAGCAACAACAAUAUACAUAGUGAGGUGCAUGCUGUAAUAAGUUUAUUCUAUCCAAAGUAGUAGUUUACGAGGGCCACCUCAGAAGACAGUGAAACUUUGAACAAUAUAUACCUGUAUUUACUAAGUCAAAAA